UGGGGAAUUUUGGACAAUGGGGGAAACCCUGAUCAAGCCAUCCCGCGUGUGCGAUGAAGGCCUUCGGGUUGUAAAGCACUUUUGGCAGGAAAGAAACGUCAUGGGUUAAUACCCCGUGAAACUGACGGUACCUGCAGAAUAAGCACCGGCUAACUACGUGCCAGCAGCCGCGGUAAUACGUAGGGUGCAAGCGUUAAUCGGAAUUACUGGGCGUAAAGCGUGCGCAGGCGGUUCGGAAAGAAAGAUGUGAAAUCCCAGAGCUCAACUUUGGAACUGCAUUUUUAACUACACGGCUAGAGUGUGUCAGAGGGAGGUGGAAUUCCGCGUGUAGCAGUGAAAUGCGUAGAUAUGCGGAGGAACACCGAUGGCGAAGGCAGCCUCCUGGGAUAACACUGACGCUCAUGCACGAAAGCGUGGGGAGCAAACAGG
Molecule: ribosomal RNA, 429 nt
Filed under: Acidobacteriota bacterium
Lineage: Bacteria; Pseudomonadati; Acidobacteriota
Description: Acidobacteria bacterium partial 16S ribosomal RNA
Rfam family: Bacterial small subunit ribosomal RNA
Source: RNAcentral